CUCUGCAACCAUAUCCUCUUGGGCUGAGAUCUCACAAACUGAACCAGGAUCAAGUCAGGUUAGCAUAUGGAUGGGAGACUGCCCAAGGAAAAGCCACUGUGUUGCAGGGA
RNAcentral lists this ribosomal RNA (110 nucleotides) under Sphenodon punctatus (tuatara). The record is from RNAcentral. Lineage: Eukaryota; Metazoa; Chordata; Lepidosauria; Sphenodontia; Sphenodontidae.